RNAcentral lists this long non-coding RNA (43768 nucleotides) under Ananas comosus (pineapple). RNAcentral describes it as "long non-coding RNA (ACOM_LNC021584)". Lineage: Eukaryota; Viridiplantae; Streptophyta; Magnoliopsida; Poales; Bromeliaceae. The record is from RNAcentral.
UCAAACAUAAACUGACUCAUUAAAGUAUCAAGUCGAAAAAUUUAGCUCGUAUUCAACUCGUUUAUUAGUUAGCCGAACACGAGCUAACGUACAAACAAUAAAUUAAAAAAAUUAGAAUAUAUAUAUAUAGUAGGGCUACUAUACUCUUAUGAGUAUAGAGCCAUUCGUACUCAUAAAUUAUUUUCGAUGAUGAAAAUUCCGAAUCGACGAUCUACUCCAUUAAGUAUGAGCUACAGUAUUUGAAACUUCUAAAAAAUAAAUUUCAUAAUUUUUUGAAAUCAUAAUAAAGUCUAUUAAGCAGGCAUAAAAGGAACAGUCAAAAUCGAACGACGUUCUAAAAAUGAAAGAUCGGAUCCUUCAAUUUAAGAUUGGAGUUAUUGAUAUUUAUCUAGAUAUCAAAUAAAACUUUUUUCAUCAAAAAUUCAACCUAUUUCAAUUUUUUUACAUCGUUAAACUAGCAAGUAUCCCAUACCGACUAUUAAAAAUUGUCAAUUUUGUGAUUUUUUGAUCGUAAGGUAAAUGAUGUCGAAAAAUUAUAAAAUUUGAUUUCUAGAAAUUUUAAAUGCUCUAGAUAAUAUUUAACGGUAUGAAUCGUCGAUUCGGAAGCUUUAUCAUCGAAAACGACUAAUGAGUACGUGAGUAAUCGUACUCAUAAGAGUAUAGUAACCGGACUAUAUAUAAAAUAAAUUUAUGAGAUGUUAUUCAUUAGACUUUGAUUUUAUGCUUAAAAUUUUACAUAUAAAUGACCCUUUUUUAUAAUUAAGUUGUGCUUUAUAUUUAGAUUGGACUAAAUUCAGAUAAUAAAAAUCUAUAUUAUAUAUAUAUAAUUAUUUAUUUAUAUAUGAAAAUAUAAAAUGUAUAAAUUAUAUAAAUAUCAAGUAUAUGUAUUUGAACUGUUAUCGAGCUGAACACGAGCUAGCUGAUCCCAACUCGUGCUCGACUCGUUUAUUAAACGAGCUGAAAAAUUCAGCUUAUGUUCAACUCGUUUACUAAAUUAGCAAUUUGAUUUCGAGCUUAUUUCGAGCCGAACACGAGUUGGCGCUCACAAACAACCACCUGAAUUGCCACCUUUACUUGUACCUAUACUGCUUGAUGUGGCCAGCAAUGAUGGAGACUAAAUUUGUACCCUACGAAUUAGACACAUGAGUUAACCCCCUUAUUAAACACCAAAAACCAAAACAUCCACCCAACCCUAGAGCCACAUACACAAACCCCCUAAGAGCCUUAACAAGCACUAUUUAAUUAAAUGCACCCAGUGGAAUGGUGAGUUGGGGUGCCAAGUGAGAUCACUGUCAUAAAAGCAAUUCACUAAAGCUAUGGCCCAAACAUUAACUUAGAUAAAAGUUGGUUCAUUAGACUCCAUCAACAAUAAAAGCCAACAAAUUAAUAUUGGUCUUUGAUUCCACCCCACACUAACCAACAUACUUGGCCACAUGGGUGAGGAGGACUGGAGGAGAGUAUAUACAAGGGUUGUUGGGUGCCACUAUUGUAAUUGUCUCAAAAACCAAGCUCUAAUUUAAGUAACACUUGCUUAUAUAUACCCAUGCAUUUCUCAAUACCACAAAAAGGAGACAUAUAUGCAUGCAUCUUGGGUUCCUAGGAUCCUAAGAAGGUUGAGGAAAUAAUUAGGAUGAUCUCAAAGGUGUUGUACAAGUACUUCCUCUUCUUCUACAAGGUCCUCCUAAGGAGGGUGAGGCUUGCACAUGGAUGCCAUGGGAAACUACAAAAGUCCCCUCCUCUUGAGAAGCUCUCCAACUCCAACCAAGCCAUAGUGUGUGAUGUGGAGGGAGGGCUCCUUAGGUCAUCCUCCACUUUCCCCUACUUCAUGCUUGUGGCCUUGGAGGGAGGAGGGUUCUUUAGGGGGCUUCUCCUCUUAGUUUUGUACCCUCUCCUUUGCUGUGUUGGGUGUGAGCUAGGGCUUAGGGUUAUGGUGAUGGUGUGCUUUUUUGGGAUCAAGAGGGAAGGGUUUAGGGUUGGGAAGGCCAUCUUGCCAAAGUUCCUCAUGGAGGAUGUGGGGUUGGUAGGGUUUGAGGCAUUGAACAAGGGCUCUAAGAGGGUUUGUGUUAGUAGAAUGCCAAGGGUGAUGGUGGAGGGUUUUUUGAAGGAUUACUUGGAGGUGGAGGUGGUGAUAGGGAGGGAGUUGAAGGAGUUUCAUGGUUACUACACUGGGCUUAUGGAGGAGGAAGGUGAGGCUAUGGAGAGAUUGGAUUUGAAGGAGUUGAUGGGGAUGGGAGAUGGAGUUGUUGGUAUGGGGGGAUAUGCAAGUUCUCUCCACCACCCCUUGUUCUCCCUUUGCAAGGUAUAUAUAUAUAUAUAUAUAUUAAUUAGUCAUGAAUAUCAUUCUAUGUUUAUGUCUCUUCAUUUUUUUCAUUGAAGAUCUAUUAAUUUAUAGUGUUUUAUUUAAGUAGAACUAGCUGGUCCUACAUAGGUAUAUAUUUAUUUAUUAUCAUGAAUUGUGUGAUCGAUCGAAGGUUUGUGUGUGUGUGUGUGUGUGUGUCUAUAUAUAUAUAUAUAAUUAGCUAGGUCCCAUAUGGCCCAACUUCUUUGUUUGUAGUGUAACCUGUUGCUAAAGACCCAGCUAGCUAGUUUGCUCUAGAACCCUUUAUGGUAGUAGUUAGCAUAACUUAGUAAUUAAGUAGCUUCUUUAAUCGAGAUAUUAAAAGAUAUAUGUAAUUCAAAAUAACUAUUUAGAAACUUCUAACUAGGCACGUUGGUAAAACAAAAGUAAGCUUUUAAGCCCAAGAGAGAGCAAAAGACUUAAUCAUUUAGGUCCUAUAUAUAUGGCCCAACUUCUUCGUUUGCAUCGUAAUGUACCACUACAGAAUCAGCUAAUCUGAUCUGAUCUAGAACCCUUUGUGGUUAUAGUAAGAUGUGAUUUGCCAUCUUAUAGUUUACUAGAUUGCAAUAACUCCUAAGUUGAACUUUUCCUAGAUUAUUAAUUGUAUUGUAUACUAUUAUAUAUUAUAGCAUGUCAAUGUCAAUUUUGAAAUGUAUAGCUGGACCAAUAAUUAGGCCCUUACUUAGAUUGGUACUUUGAUUUUUAUUUCCAACUAUACAUGCAUGGUAUUUGAACAGGAACUUCUUAGGGCUUCUUGAAAACUCCAGUGGUCCAAAUGCCAUUUAAUGACCAUCUUGCUUACUUUUCUUUCCUAUUAAUGGCAUUAUUUAAGAAUUGCCUCAUCCUUGAUAUAUACUUUUUAUUUCCAAAAAUAGAAAGCAAUCCAAAAUUACUAUAGUGGUCAAAGAAAAAUAAGUGGUUAAAAGUUGCUAGUUGUUUAUUAGAGUUUAUUAAGGCAUACUUUUUAUUAUGAUGUGUGGAGAUAAUUCUAAAUUAUGUUUAAAUCAAAAAUUAGUAUAUAAAUAAUCUAAAACUUUCGUUUGGAAUACAAUUAGUUGCCGAUCGGUCUCUCAAAAUGCUGUUCUUAUAGACUUUUGAUUUAUAGGCAUAAAUGACUACAAAAAUUGUAUAGCAUGACUAAAUGACUACAAAAAUGUUCUCAAACAUUAAUAAUUAGAUCAUAGCAACUUUUCUACAUAUAUAUGUUUUCAUUGAAUGCACAUUAUCAAUUUCCAUAUUGUAAUUUCUGAGAAAUUCUAUUGUGUAAGGUUUUUUUUGUUAUUAAAACUUUUGUUAGGAAGUAUACUUGGUGAGUGAAAUUGAGAAGAGGAAAUGGCAACCCCUACCAAGAGCAAUGUACCCUAAGCCCUUAGUAUUUCAUGAUGGAAGAAUAGCCUUCAAGCCAACUCCCUCCUCCACCCUCUCCAUGUUUCUUUGGCUCCCUCUCGGCGUCGCCCUCGCGAUCGCGCGUGCCGUCGUCUUCCUCUUCCUCCCUUUCAAGCUCGCCAUCCCCAUCCUUGCCCUCCUGGGCAUGAACAACACCGGCCGUUGCAUCCCUCGCUCCUCUUCUCCCUCUCCCUCAUCUCCGCAACUCUUCGUUUGCAACCACCGCACCCUCCUCGAUCCUCUCUACAUAUCCGCUGCCGUCAAACGAAACCUGACCGCCACAACAUACAGUCUGAGUCGCAUGUCGGAGCUCUUGUCGCCUAUAAAAACCAUUCGGCUAACGAGGAACAAGAAACUUGAUAGAGAGAAGAUGGAAAAGGUUCUCCAAGAUGAAGGUAGCAAAUAAACCACCAAUCGAUUUAUGUAAAAGCUUAAAGCUAUCAGAGAACGGUGAUUCUAAUAAUUUAUGUUCGACAGGCCUUGUGGUUUGCCCUGAGGGGACGACAUGUCGCGAGCCGUAUCUUCUACGGUUUAGCCCGCUUUUCGCCGAGCUAGGGCGCGAGAUCGUGCCCGUCGCGCUAGACUCACGGGUCGGGAUGUUCUACGGCACGACGGCCGGCGGGCUCAAGUGCUUGGAUCCAUUGUACUUCCUCAUGAACCCAAUACCUACUUAUAGGGUUGAGUUCUUAGAUAAGGUGGAUACUACAUCUAUUGAAGGGAGGGGUUGCAAUAGUGUGGAAGUGGCUAACUAUGUUCAAGAGAAAAUUGCAAAAGCUCUAGGGUUUGAGUGCACAAGUUUGACAAGGAGGGACAAGUACUUGAUGCUUGCAGGGAAUGAAGGGUUUGUGGAGGCAAAGAGGAGGUGAUAUAUAUAUCAUACACUACUAAGAAAAAAAAAAAAAAAAAAAAAAAACCUUUUCUAAUUGCAUUUUCUUUGUGAUAAUUUUGUUGGAACUUAGAAGUUUCAUCUUGCAUGAAAAAAGAAAGAUGUUUAUAUAACUUGCUUUAUUUGUUUCCUUUAUUAGAGCACAUAGUGCUGUUGCUGCACUCUAAUUCUUUUUUCAUGUAAUUAAGAGAAUAAGAUUUGUUGAUGUACAUUAAUUUAAUCAUCAACAUAUAUUGCACAACUUAAACUAAGUGUAAUGCAUGGCAAUUGAUCACAAGGUUCUACGGCCCUUAAUUUUUACAUGUAUGUAAAUGUAUGUGUGCAUUUGUAUAUACAUACAUAAAUACGUAUAUCUAACGAAAAAUGUUGGAACUAUAUAUAUAUUAACAAUUUUAUGUAUAUAUAUAUAUGUAGAGUUGAGCUGGAAUACUAUCGGCAGCAAACGAGCUCUGUUGUCAACCAUUUAUUUUUGAUGAUGGAGCCUCCAAAUCGGUGAUCGGCGCUGUUGAAUAUGAUCUAUAUCACAUGAAGUAUCUAGAAAUCAAAUUUCAUACUUUUUCGAUAUUGUUUUCUUGUCUAUCAAAUAGACGUAAAAAUAAACGACUGAAAAUAAAUAUCCUCUAAAAAGUGAUUAUAGGAAUUUUGUAAUCAAGAUCGAAAGUAUAGAUCUUGUUCUAAAUAGUUUAAAGAAUUUUCUGACCAAAAUUUAAUUGAUUUGGAUAGCUUUAUAUCGUUAAAUGAGAAAACGCUUCACAUCUAUCAUUAAAAUUACAAAAUUUGAAACUCUUUAAUCAUUAGGUCAAUGAUGUCGAAAAGAUUUAAAAUUUGGUUUCUAGAUACUUCAAGUGGUAUAGAUCAUGUUCAACGAUGCCGAUCGUCGAUUUGAAGGCUCCAUCAUCGAAAAUAAAUAAAUGGCAACAAAAUCCGUUUGCUACCGAUAGUAUUUCAGCUUAACUCUAUACAUGUAAGCUUAGAUAUAAGUACCAAUCAAGGACCACAUAUUUUCUUACUUUUCUUUACUCCUAAAAGUUUAUAUAUAGUCCGCAUUAGAAUUGCAUGUGAUAUGAAGUCGAUAUCAAAGCAAAUCACGCUUCCACCGGUGCAAAAGUACGUGUACAUGUAGUGCGUUGUUAGCAUAUACUAAACCAUUAUGACUUGUCCUUUCGCAUUAAUUAGAUUUUACCCGGGAGGUUGUACGUCGUUUUCAAGCGGAUGCUUCUGCAUGAAGCUAAUUAAAUUUAGAGUUAAUUACACCAAUGAUCCUAACCGUUACACUGUUUUUCAAUUGGGUUCCUAAUCUUUUUUUUUUGCAAUCAAAUUCCUAAUCUUUUGAUUUCCUUUUAAUUAAGUCUCAACCGUUAGACAGCUGUUAAAAUUGACGAAAAAUGCCACGUCAGUACCCCGUCAGUGCCACGGUGGCGCAGUGUCAGCGGCACGAUUGCGCUGUGUCAGCGGAUUACAAAAAAAAAAAAAAUUAGGAACCAAAUUAAAAAAUGGUGCAAAGGUUGAGGACCAAUGGUGUAAUAAACCCAUUAUAUUUAUAAAUUCAAAAAAAAUUUAAUUUAAGAUUUAUAUUUUAAAUUUAAAUUUUGAUUUUGAAUUCAAAUUUAAAUUCGAAUUCAAAUUUCAAUUUUAUAUUUAAUUUNAUUAAAAUUAAAAUUUAAUUUAUAUUCAAUUAAAAAUUUAAAUUUAAAAAUUGAAUUUCAAUUCAAAAUUUUAAUUCAGCUUUAAAUUCAAAUUCAAAAUUCUAAUUUCUCGUUAGUUUAAAAUUUUAAUUUUAAUAUUAUUUUGAAUUUAAAUUUAAAAUUUUGAAUUUUUUUAUGUACUAAAAUAAAAAAUGUGCAAAGUUUAGGGACCUAAAUUGACAUGCAAAAGAUUGUCACAUAGACGCUGACGUGGCAAUUCCGUUAAUUUUAACUAUUUUUUUAACGGUUGGGACCUAAUUGUAAUAAAAAUAAGAGGUUAGGGACUCAAUUGCAAAAAAAAAAAGGUUGAAAACUCAAGUGAAAAUUAGUGAAAAGGUUAGGGACUACUAGUGUAAUUAACCCUUAAAUUUAAACAACUACAGUAAAAUAUAUUUUAAACGACGUUUUUUAAAUAACGUUUUAUUCUAACAUUUUUAAUACAUGACAUUUGCCGAUAUUAUAAUUAAACGACGCUAAUAUAUAUAUUUUUAUUAAAUACUGAUAUAAAUUUUUCGACGCUAUAUUAAAACGUUGGUAUAUUUAUUCCGACAUAUUUACUUAAUAAUUCUUUGCUCGACUUUUUACAAAUAUUGGGAUUAUUCUGAACGGCGUUUUAAAGCAUCACUAAUUAUUAUUUAAAGUAUCGUACUAUCACCAAUUUCAUGUUUAUAAUAAUAAUCUCUUAUUUAAGUACUCCAAUUAAUCAAAGCCCUUCAUUUGUUAUUAUGGUUCAUUAAAUGCUUAGACACAAACAGGUGAGAAUUAAUUGAAUAUUCAUCAUAUAUGCAUAACAAUGAUUGAGAGAAACAGUGAAGCAACUUUUUGAUUAAUUUUAAUUUUAUGUACAUGCAAAAUCCUUAAAUGGAAAAAAGAAAUUGAAUUAUGUACAACAAUAUUAAAUGUGAACUUUGACUUAUUUUUAUUUAUGAAGAAAAUAUGUUAAACGAAUUGUGUAAAAUUAAGAUACGGACAAAAUUAAUUGUUCCAAAAUUUAGUCAAUAAUUAACGGUCUAGUAUUAAUAAAAUAUUGACAAUUAAAGCCUCGUUUCGCACCGUGGCCUUUUUGUUUCUCUAUCAAAAAUAAUUUUAACAAUAAAAGAAAAAUUCUUAUAAUUGAAUAUUAAAUUAUGUAUAAUUACUGUUUAAAAAUUAAAAAAAAAAGAUUUGGACGUUUUUUUAUUCAUUAGUACAAGUUCUAUAUGUUUAACUCCUCUACUCUAAAAAGCAUUAAUUAUCUAUAUAUUGAUAAACAAAAAAUCUUUAUCUUAACAGAAAAUGUAAAAAUAUGCUUAGGUUUUGAUCAAUUAUUAUAAAAUUAGCACGGAAUCAUAAAUUUAUUUAGAUGGGGAUUACUAUAAAAUUAUCAGUAAAGUUAAUAAAAUACUAAAUUAAUUUGAUUAAGUAGAAAAGGAUUUAAAAAGUUAAAACAAUCUCUAAAAAAAAAAAGAUUAUUAAUGAAGUAGUUGAGAGUGUCAUUCCACUGUGGUUUAGUGUAGGGAUGUCAACGGGUUGGGUUUGGGUCGGGUUUUGAAAAACCCGAACCCGAACCCGAAAACCAAAUUAAAACCCGUACCCGGAUCCGAACCCGGCGGGUUUUAAAAAUCUAUACCCAUAUCCGUACCCGACCAAAAACCCAAAACCCGAACCCGGACCCGGAUCCGGCCAGUUUUAAAAAUCCAUACCGUUAAAUGAAGAUCUAAGAGAUAAAAAUUAUUAAAUAUUUUAUAUAUUAUAUAAAUAAAUAAAAAUAAAGUAUGUAUAUAUAUAAUUUAUUCGGGUUUGGGUUCGGGUUCAGGUCGGAUUCGGGUUCGGGUUCGGGUCGGAUAAAUACAAAAUCCAUACCCGUAUUCAUAUCCGUCGGGUUUUUAUUUUCUAUACCCAUAACCAAAUCCAUACACGUUUAGCUCGGAUAAACUCGCCCCGUUCGGAUUCGGGUUAGGAUAAUAUUUCAGGUAUCCAUACCCAUUGACAUCCCUAAUUUAGUGUUAAGAGGUCACCCUAUAUACAUAUAUCAUUCACCUCAAUAUUUUUUGAGCAAUAUUGCUACCUCACUAUUAUUUUUCACCUCUUAAUUCACCUCAAUAUUAUAUUUCAUAUUAUCUAGUGAAAAAUGUAUGGAGGCCUCCUCGACAAUAUACGCAUUUUGAAAUAGACCCUCAACUUUUAUUUUUUACAUUUAUUAUUGUAUUCAGAUUUCUUUAACUUCAAUAUUUUUUUGAGGGGCAAUUUCUUAUAUACUCCUGAAAAGUUUUCGACUUUUUGAUUUAUCUAUCUUAGAAGGCGAAUAUUGAAAAUACUCUUUUUACGUUCUAAUAUAUUUUAAAUAUACUCCUAGAAUUAAUUAAAUUCUGUUAAUAAACGGUUAGCAAUAACUGCAUAUUAUAUGUAUGAAAUUACUAUUUUGCCCUUUCAAAUAUACUUUUCUAUCAUCACCGAUUUUUUCUAUUUGUUCUUAAGUUAGGGGCACAAAAAGUAUUUUGAUUUUUGAUUUUUUCAAAUAUAUUUUUCUACCAUCACCAUCAUUUGUUAUUUGCCCUUAAGUAAAAAACAGAACAGACAUUUUGAUCUUUUCUUUAGCUCUAAUAGAUAAUUAACUCACGUUUAACCCAAUUUAAUUUAACGGGUGGUAAUUAUAGAGGUAUUUUGGAAUAACGGAGGAACAUAUGAGGGGUAUAUUAGAAAGAAAAAAAAAGAUAAAUGAGAUAUUUGAGGGAUAUAUAGACAAUUAUUUUUUUUUUUUUGUUAUUUCACUUUUUAUAGUUAACUAAGUUUUAAGUUUUUAGUAAAUUCCAUAGCUUAUUUAGCCACAACCCCCAUCUACACAGCAUCAAUAUAGAGCACAUGUCAAGUAUGAACAAAUAAAAAUCCAAAGAUUUUCAAUACCUUAUUUUUUCCAUCCUAAUUAAGGCUAUUACAAAGUAUGUGGUUACAAUGUACAACCAAAUUUUUUAAUACAAGUUAAUUUUAAUUUCUCUUUUCACAAUAUACCAAGUAGAGAUGUCAACGGGUUGGAUUCGGGUGGAUUUUUAAAAAUCCGAAUCCAAAACCCGACUCCAAACUCGAGACCCGAACCCGAAUCCGAACCCGACUGAUUUUAAAAAUCCAUAUCCAAACCCGAACCCGACCAAAAAUCCGAAACCCAAACCCGAACCCGAAAAUUUGAACCCGAAACAAUUAUUUCUUUUUUCAAUAUUUCAAAAUAUAUUAUAUUAAAUCUAAAUUUUUAAAAUAUAAAUUCAAAUAUAACAUCAAAUAUAUAUAUAUAUAUUAUAUAUAAUACAAAAUAAAUUCGGGUUCAAGUCGGAUUCGGGUCAGGUUCGGGUUCAGGUCAGGUACAAUCAAAAUCUAUAUCCGAAUCCAUAUCCGUCGGGUUUCUAUUUUUGAUAUCCAUAUCUAAAUUCAUAUUCAUAUCUAUCGGAUAUAUUCAUUUCAUUCGGGUUUGAAUUCGGAUAAAAUUUCGGAUAUCCAUACCCAUUGAUAUCCCUAAUGCCAAUUAUAUUUAUUGUCCAAAAUACCAAAAUACAAAAGGUAUGACCGUUCUAGGACGAACUAUCUACACAUGUCCUCGCCCCGCGCCCAGCUCCUCCCCGACCAAUGCACCUGAAAAAUAGGUUGUCAGAAACUUUUUUUCUUUUUCUUUUUUUUAGAAAUAGGUAGGACGCUACUCGCUUCGUUUUAUUUUAUUUAAAAAUAAACUUAGCUGGAAAUGUGAAUCAACUAGGAUUCAAACUUGGGAUCUCGGAUAUCAACCGCCAAGCCCUUUACCAUUUGUUCUAGGGACGGUCGGUGGGUUGUGAGAAACUUAUACAAGUUUUUCGGUGAAUACAACUAGCCAUAAAAGGCGAGCUGCAUCCACUGGCCCAUGAGAUAUUUCUGAUUCCGAUUCAGGUAAUGAACCAAACAGAAUUAGGUAAUAAGUCAUUCCGAUUCCGAUUCCAGCUUAUUUUGAUUCCGAUUCCGAUUCCGAUUCUGACUCUGACUUCGAACCAAACACGCCCAUAACGGGAACUAAGCAAUAAAUAUCAUGAUAUUUUAUCGAGUAAGAGUAAAUGGAAUUAUUAUGCACCAAUGCCAAAAAUUGUCGACUACUCUACUAUACCCAAUUUGCCGUCUGGCCGAUUACAAGGACCCGGCCUAAGCUUGCUUGUGAAGAAGCAUGCACUGUCAGGAUUAGCUCAGUCUAUAAAAUUUAGUAAUUCUGAUAGAAAAAUAUAAUUUUUUUCAAAAUUAUCUUUGUGGUCAUGUGAAUAUUAGUUUUUACUAAAAUAUCAGUAAAUAUAAUUUGCACUUGUAAAUUAAAUUUUGUUGGUGAACAAUUAGAAACAAUCGUUAUCUUUAUAAAAUUACUAUUUUAUCCUUUCAAAUACGCUUUUUUACCGUUACCAACUUUUUCUUAUUUGCCCGUAAGUUAGAGGCUAAAGAAAUAUUUUGACUUCUUUCCUUUUUAAAUAUACCUAUCUAUCAUUACCAACUUUUCUUAUUCUUAUUUAUCCUUAAGUCGGAGAUAAAAUAAGUAUUUUGAUUCUUUUUCUAAAAAAAAUCAGGUAGAAAUUUAAUAUGGAUUUAAUCCGAGAUAACUUAAAGGGUAUUAACAGAGGAGUAUUUUUGAAUAACGGAGAAAUAUACGAGAAAUAUAUUUUAAACAAAAAAAAAAGUAAAGAUAAAUUAGAAAUUUUAGAAAUUUUGAGAGGUAUAUAAAUAACUAUUCCUAAAAUUUGUGAUACUAGCAACUGUAUGUGACCAAAUAACUGCCUUACAAAAUAGAAUUAAGGGCUUUUUCUGCAUUUAGUCCCCUCUGAAAAAAAAUUUACAAAUAGCCCCAUAAAAUUUAUAAUUAUAAAAGUGGCUCUAUCCCUGCGACGCAAGCGCCGCGUCAGCGACUGUGGAUGGUUAAGUUGAACACGAUGAAUUUUAAUACAAUGAAAUAUUUACCAUGUUUGGACGGUUGGAUAGUACCCAAGUCCCGCACUGCAGAAAAACUCAAACAGUUCUGCAGUGCAGUUUUGCUUAAACACGAUGAAUCAUUCACCGCGUCUAAACACAGUGAAUAGUUUACCGUAUUCAAUUUAUGCCACUACUCCAGCCAGCUGCUGACGUGGCGCUUGCAUGACCGGAAUAGAAGCAGUUUUGCAAUUUAAAUUUUGCGAAGCUAUUUAUGAAAAAAAAAAAUGAGGAGGCUAAAUGCAAAAAAAAUCUUAGAAUUAGAGAAAGUCUACUGUACGGUACAUACAAUACAUUAUCAAUAAUAAGCCAAUUAUAUCUUUCUUCUUUUAAAAAAGUAUAACAAAAGUAUUUUUUAUAAUCAUAAUGUGACAAAGAACCUAAAAAAAAAAAAAAGAAUUUUUUUCUAGAAUCAAUAAGAGUUGAGCUGGAAUACUAUCGGUAGCAAACGGACUUCGUUGCCACCCAUUUGUUUUCAAUGAUGGAGCCUCCAAAUCAACGAUCGGUACUGUUAAAAAUGAUCUAUACCACUUGAAGUAUCUAGAAAUCAAAUUUCAUGCUUUUUUGAUAUUAUUCUCUUAUUCAUCAAGUGGGCGUAAAAAUGAACGGCUGAAAAUGAAUAUCCUUUAAAAAGUGAUGAUAGGAAUUUUAUAAUCAAGAUCGAGAGUAUAGAUCUUGUUCUAAAUAGUUUAAAGAAUUUUCUAACAAAAAUUCAAUUGAUUUGAAUAGCUUUACACCGUUAAACGAAAAAACGUCUCAUAUCGACUAUUAAAAUUACAAAAUUUGAAACCCUUUGAUCAUUAGGUCAAUGAUGUUGAAAAGAUUUGAAAUUUGAUUUCUAGAUACUUCAAGUGAUAUAAAUUAUGAUCAACAAUACCGAUCGUCGAUUUGAAGGUUCCAUCAUCGAAAAUAAAUGGAUGGCAACGGAGCCCGUUUGCUACCGAUAGCAUUCCAGCUCAACUCAAAUCAAUAAUGGAAAAGCACUUCCCAAAAGAGAAAAAGAGAAAGAAAGGAAAAGCAAUCGCACUACCAACUCCACCUUGCGCAUACACGCUACCCAACUCCACACGGACCACAUCAAAAGCGUCGUCGCUCACGCUAGCUGCCGACACUUCACUUUCCCACCACCGACACAAUGGGGAAGAGCGCCCGGGCGGCGGCGGCGGUGGCGGCGGCGGCUGCGGCGCCAUCUCCGCCGCCGCCGCCGCCGCAGUCGCCGCAGCCGCUGCCAUCUCAGGCGGAGCCGGCGCCGGAGGCGGAGGCGGAGGCGGAGGCGGAGGUGAACCCGCGGACGGGGUCGCCGUUCUCGAGGAGGUUCAAGAAGCUUCUGGAGAGGAGGAAGAAGCUCGCUUUGUGGGCCCAAAGGGAGAAGGUUCGAGACGCGCUCGCGAAGCACGCCGCCGUGGUGGUGGGGGCGGCGCCGGGCUCCGGCAAGUCCACUCAGGUCGUCCUCGUCGUCGUCAUCUCCUCCUCCUCUUCUUCUCCUCCGUAUAAAUCUCAUGUUAUGAAGCGAUCGGAGCACUAUCUGUGCAUAGUUUGAUGUUUUAUGAUAUCAUCCUAGAUACGUUGUGCUUGAUUUUGAUGUGUAGGAGUGUUAUUUGGUUACUUAAUUUGAGGCUUACCCAUGUUGUUGAAUUUGUUCUUUUAGCUGUAAUUUAAGCAAAAUCUUAAUGCUAAUUCAACUAUAAACUGUAAUGCUGUGAUCCUCGUUUUGAUCUGUAGGGGCAUUAUCUGGUUGAUUUGAGACUCACCCGUGAUUGUUAAAUUUGUUCUUUCAGCUGUAAUUUAAGCAAAAUCUUAAUGUUAAUUCAAUUAUAAACUAUAAUGCCGUGAUCCUCGUUUUGAUCUGUAGGGGUGUUAUAUGGUUGAUUCGAGACUUACCCAUGCUGUUAAAUAUGUUCUUUUAGCUGUAAUUUAAGAGAAAAAUCUUAAUGUUAAUUCAAUUAUAAACUGUAAUGCUGCGAAUCUGAACAUACCCUAAAAUAAUUGCCGGUAUCUGGAUGAACCAAACUCUUGUGAAGUGAUUGCUGCUCUACACGUAGUUUGAUGUUUCAUAGUCUCUUCUUAUAGAGUUAGAUUUCACUAAAAGAUAUUGAGAUGUGAGCUUUGUUUUGAUAUGUAGUUGUGUUAUUUAGUUGGUUUGAGACCUACCCUUGUUGUCACUUAAUGUUGCUUUAGCUGAGAUUUGGUAAAAUUUGAUCUACCCAACUCUCAACUCCCAAUCAUUUAACAUUAAUUUGGCUAUAAAUUUGCGAUAUUGCAAGUUUGGGCAUACCCAUUUCGGUUUAGUCCUGUAAUUCAGUAGAAGUAGGUCUGACUUGGCAAUAUUAUAAUCUCUUCCAGUCACAUAUCUCUUAAUCUUGUGCUGUGAGCUUGAUUUUGAAGUGUAGUUUUGUUAUUUAGUUGGUUUGAUUCUUUCCCAUAUGUCCAAAUAUGUUCUUUAAGUAAAAUGGUGAAACCCUAAGCUAAUUGGCUUGUAUCUGGCUCUACUCACCUCCUAAGUUUUGGAGUUUUCAAACUUGAAUGCGGUUUAAAGGGUUUUUUAGGGCAAUAGCCCUCUUCUAAAAUUUUAUUCUAAAAAUAGACCCGUUAAAUUUUUAUUUAUAAAUAUAGUCCUAUAAAAGCGGUAAAUGAUUCACCGCUUUUAAAAGCGGUGAACCAUUCACCGCUUUCUUUCUUUUUUUUUACUUAUUUUUAUAUUUCUACGAUGGUAAAAGCGGUGAAUAGUUCACCGCUUUUAUUCUUUUUCUACUUCUAAAGAAGAGUUAUGAAUGCGGUGAAUCAUUCACCGCAUUUAGAAGUCUAUUUUUACAAUUAUUUUUUUAAAAAAAUUAUUUUUACAAUUAUAAAAAUUGAUAGGAUUAUUUAUAAAAAAAAUUCGGUUUUAAAUCUUUAAUCUUGCAAGUUUGAAGACACCCAUUUGAUUGAACCUGUAAUUUUGGUAGAGUAAGGUGCUAACUAAAUAUACUUUUGUGCUAACCAAUUUGGCCAUUCUUAUAUGUGUAAACUGUAAAUAACUGAAGAAGCUUCUAGUUCUUUUGCAUUAAUUAUACUGGUAUGCUGUAACUUGGGUAUUGAAAGAAAAUUCCAUUUUUAUGAAACAGAUUCCGCAAUUUGUGAUUGAGGCUGGUUAUCCGAGGACUGGGAAGCAGAUUGCCUGCACCCAACCCCGAAGGCUUGUCGCCACAGCGGUUGCUCGUCGAGUAGCACAAGAGAUGGAUGUGAGUUUGGGAGAGGAGGUCGGUUAUUCCGUACUGUUCGAUGAAUGUUGCAGCACAAAAACCAUUCUGAAGUAUGUUUAUGGACAAUGACACCAAACUUCAAUAUUCUAGGGCCCUCGUUUGGUACAGCUUCUAUUUUUCCUUUUUUUAAACUCAAAUUCUAUAUGGUUGGGUGAAAUGGAGGACAGAUUUUCUCCGACCUCGUUAUUGUUCAUCAUCUUGUGAUGCGCCCCAGGUCGAUAUUAAUCCUUGUUUGUUUUUAAGGAAAACAAAUUAAACAGCAACAAAGAAGUGAAAAUAGUUGCCGAACAAAAUUCUUCGGUGUAUACAUUGUAAACAAGUGUCUCACUCAAUUACAAUGAGUUUGAGUUUUUUUUUUUUUUAAAAGAAGUCAGUACCUAACCCAAUCACACUUUUCUGUUGUGUUUAGUUUGUAAUUUUAAUGUCGUAACAUUGUCUUUCCAGUCAUAUGUUAGGAAUUGUGCUAAAUGUCGUAAAAUUUAUUGGAGCACUUCAGCAAUCACGUGGCUUAUAAGAUACUGCACACUGGGAUUUAAUUGCUUGAUGUUGUUGAUCUACUUAUAUACAGGGAUUUAAUGAGCAAAACAAUUUUCAUGUGCUUGGGAUUUAACUGCAAGAUGUACCAUCCAACCACCAUGACAAUUGUAUGUUUCCAUGUUAUUUCCUUUUAUAGGUACUUAACUGAUGGUGUGCUUCUAAGAGAAAUAUUAUCCGAUCGAUUUCUAGAAAAAUACGAGGUCAUAAUUCUCGAUGAGGUGCACUUGCGAACCCUAGCAACUGAUAUUCUCCUUGGCUACUUGAAAAAUCUCUUAUCCUCGAAUGCUCGGCCCGACCUUAAACUUGUCGUGAUGAGCUCUCAGUAUGAGGCGACAAAGUUCAAAGAAUACCUCAAAAGCGGACGAAUUGUGCAACCGAGUCCCACUCUUCAUCCUAUAGAGAUCAUGCAUGAACAACAACCUGUUGAGGACUACGUCAAGAAGGCAAUUGAGAUAGUUGAGCGAGUACUCACGACCGAACCAAAUGGUGACAUACUGGUUUUCGUAACGGGGUCAGAAGAGAUCGACUCUUUCUGCUGGAAUCUUAAAAAGGUGGUCGCAGAUUUGGGAGAUAAAAUCGGGGCAGUUAAUGUUCUUCCGCUUCACUCUACGGUGUCUGCUGAUCAACAAAAGAAGGUUUUCAAGGCCGCACCCCCUUCAAAGAGGAAGGGCGGGCCCGUUGGUAGGAAGGUGGUUGUGUCAACCGACAUUGGAGAAUCAUCACUAGCAAUAGAAGGAAUUGUUUACGUGAUCGACUGCGGCUACACAAAGCAGAAGGUUUACAACGCCCAACUUAAUGUAGAAUCCUUGUUGAUUUUGCCCAUAUCGAGAGCUAACGCACAACGUAGGUCGGCAUUGGCUAGGAGAACGGCUUCUGGGAAGUGCUUUAGGCUAUACUCGAAACAGCGCUUUUUAGCUGCACAGGCUGAGGUGUCGCCUGAGAUUUUUAGGGCGAAUCUCGCGAGCAUUGUUCUAUUGAUGAAGAAGAUAGGGAUUGAGGAUUUUGCCAAUCUCGAUCUGAUGGAUCCUCCUCAUGCUGAAAUGGUCGAACGAGCUUUUGAAACUUUGAAAUGCUUGGGCGCUUUGGAUGGAGAGGGAACUUUGACUGACUUAGGGGAGCUUAUAAGCCACUUUCCUUUGGAUCCACAGAUGUCUAGAAUGAUUGUUACAAGUCCAAUGUUUCGAUGUUCAAAUGAGAUUCUUUCAAUUGCUGCAAUGUUAUCAGGUAUGUAUUCUAUAAGUAAGACUCUUUUUCCUACAUAACUACCCUAUUUUGUAUGCCUUACCCAGACAACUGGAAAAAAGGAAAUUUUGUGACUUCCUGUCUGGUUUAAGGCUUAGGGCUACUGCAGAAGUACUUGUUAAGCAGAGCGGCUUAAAGAAGCGCUAACAGUUCUUUCAUUAUAAUAUCCUCAACAGCUUCUCAUUUAGUAAAAGUAGAAGAUUCAAUUUAGAGCUUUUAUUUGGGCAUAAUAGCUCAUAUAUGCUCUUCGCAGGUUUACCUCAGGAAAGGCUUCAGACUUUUCGUUAGCCACCUAGUUUAUCAAAUCUUCUGCUUUCUAGAAUAGAAAAGUUCUUCAAAAAACCAGGCCAGAAAAACACUAAGGCUUCAAAUUUGAAUAUAUGAAUAUGGUUUGAUUGAAGUAAAAUGCGAAUAAGUGGAAUUCAAUUCUUAUUGAUAUUUAAGUUCUCUGAGUUUCAGCUCCCUCCACCAACCCAUUUGAACUCUUCUCUUUUACCAAAAUUUUUCUUUUCCAGUACCUUAUUGCUUUUUAAGGCCUCUUGAGAACCAGCAAACCGCUGAUGAGGCGAAACGGAACUUCAAUCACAUCAACGGCGAUCACCUCACUCUAUUGAACGUCUACCAUGCAUACAAGCACUUGAGUAAGUUCCAUCUCUCUGUAAUUUACUUUAAUUGUCUCGUCCCAACUUCUCUCCAUUUAUUAAAAUCAGCAAUUUUUCAGAUGGUGAUGCCACCUGGUGCGAGAAGAAUUACAUCAACAAGGCAGCUUUAGUGUCUGCUGAUAGUGUGAGGAGAGAGCUUGCCAAGAUUAUGAGUAAGCUUAAGUUAGAGCUUUGCUCAACCGAGUUCAGCAGUGGCGAGUACUAUGACAACAUAAGAAAGGGCAUUUUAUCUGGUUAUUUCAUGAAGGCUGCACAACGCGAGCCCACAGGACAGUACGCGAUUGUGAAAGAUCAUCAUGUGGGUAUCUUCUUUUCUUCUUUCUUAGGACUUGUUUUGGCCUGCUUAGAGCUUCUCAUACAGUUGAUUGUGUAGAGCUGUUUAAAGAAGCUGCAAACGUACUUUUCAUAAAAUGUCCUUCCUAAAAACUUAUUUGAACUUCCCACUAUAGCAGAAGCUCUUGAUUUCUCAUUCACCAAACACCUGAUUUCUGCCUUCUAGAUUAGAGAAGCUGCUUUACAAGCUUGGGCAAUCGGGCACUUAACACGUCUAUAGUUUAUUUACUGUUAUUGUCCUUGUUAUGUAGGUUGUCGAUCUUCAUCCUUCGUGUGGCCUUGUGUCGAGGCCGCAAUGGGUGGUAUUCAAUGACUUUGUUUUGGCCAGCUGCAAUUUCAUUCGAACCGUUACUGAAGUGCGCAUGGACUGGUAAGAGUCACUCAGGUGUUUACAUAUAAAAUAUGAAAGAAAAGACAUAAACCAUACAUGUGUUGCUAGACUCAUGCAGUUUUUGUAAGCAAUCGCGAAUAUAUCUUGUUGCCCCAAAACUAUGAUGAGCAUUUUGAAGUAAAUUCAAUUUAUAAUCACAAUUCACAGCAUACAAAACAUGGAGUCUUAACAAAAAGAAAUUUAUGAGAUAUUGUCCAAAUUGUGAUUGCUUCUUAUUGCUGAUUCUCUUUGCUCUAACAGUGUUAAACUGUGGAAAUUUUGUUUUGCGUUGUAAAUUAAUUUGCUCGAAAUUUUCUUUUUUCUUGGACAGGUUAAUCGAGGUUGCUCCGCAUUAUUAUAAAAUAGCUACCAUAUGAGAGGAACUGCCGACCGGACCAUUGUUUUUCCCCCUUCCAUUGGAUGUGCUUAGUGUUUUGAAUGAUCAUAGCUGCAUCAACGGCCCAUUUGGACGUCGAAAUGAAUCAGGAUCCUUUUGCAUUGGUGAUUAUUUGCUCGACCACUCGCUCAUAAAUAUACGCCACAAUAAGAGACAUGCCGAACAAACUAUCAUGAAAGUGAAAUAGCGUCCGGAUAUAUCCACCAUACAUAUAUUACUGCUGCUUCCACUAGUUGCAGUAGAGUCGAUUUUCGGAUUAUCCGACUUUUCGGUAAUAUUCAGCGUAGUUUAGCAUAGUUUCUUUGUGUUGUUGUUGUUGUUGUUGUUGUUGUUGUUGUUGUUGUUGUGAUUACUUCUUUUGAGAAAUGUAUAGAAUAUAUCUACUAUGGUAACUCUCUCAAGGUGAGAAUUUCACAUCAAAUAUGUGUGAUGUAAUCAGGAGCCACUUACUUGGAUUAAUACUAUAUGUUUUUCCUUUCUAUUCUUAAUAAUUGUGUUUAUUUUUUGUUCUUCUAUUUUUUGUCAUAUUAGAUUGUGCCAGAGCCAUUUUUUAUUGGUACAAUUCUUAGACACAUGAAUUUAAUCAGUUUGAAAUUCCAAUUUAUUUUGAUCAACAAUAGUUAAAAAAGAAAAAAAAAACCUGAAAAAUACCAAAAAUUGAGAAAAUCAAAGAACAACUAUAUAUAACAGUAACAUACUAAACCAGUAAUGUAAAAUAUCACUAAAAGUUGAGAAAACAUAUUAUCAGAUAAUUGAAACAUUUUACUAAACAUUUAAUUUGUGUAACAAAGUGUAAAGCUAAUAAAAUCCAUCAAAGUACUACACGUAGAAAACAUAAAUAUGUUAUAAGCCAAUAUAGUAUACUUGUGCAAAGUGUAAAUUGCAUCAACAGUCCCUAAACUUUUGGCCAACUUUCAUUUUGGCCCUCGUGCUUUUGAGUGCGGCAUUUGAAACCCUAAACUCUCGAAAACCAUUUCGCUCUAGUCCCUAUCCUUCGUCUUCGUCUUCGUCUCCGAUCUCAGACAAUAUUGUUUCUCGAAAGGACUAAACCGAAAGAAGUUUGAAAGUUCGGCGUCUUAAAUGUCGAACUUAAAAAGCUCGAGGGCUAAAUUUAAAACUUGAGUAGGAGUUCAGGGAGUAGCAGUUCUACUAUACUGAAGAAUCUGCAAACAUUCAUAACAGCAUCUUUGGAAGGUUAAGCAACACCAAAGAAAGGGCGUAGAGUGUAACGGAGACGAUCGCUGCUACGACGAUGUUAUACAUCAAGCGCUUGUCGUCUCCGCUCGGUAUGAAAACCAUCUUGAGUUUGUUUGUCAAUCCAAAGACUCUAUGAGCAACCUGCACAUCAUUACAUCAAAGAAACAAAGUGAUAAACUGACACCGAAACUGGGCUAAAAACUGCAGAAACCACACUUCGUAUAUCGCGACUUUCACUUUGUUCCUAAAAGUUUUGAACCGAAGAGACAAUGCGAACCGUGAUAUAUAUGGCAGUGGUGAGCAAGAAGUUGAGCAUUGGAUAGUUGGGGAUGAGAGACAGAUCCUUUCGCGGUUGUUUGUCCGGCCCGCCUGUUCUGUAAGCACACGAGAAAUAAUAACAAAUUAUCCCAAAAAGAUCAAGCAAAAAGAACAUCACCAAUGAUGUAGAAACAACGCUAAAGAACGCUUUGUCUUGUCGUUUGGAAUAGCUUCUCUACUUACAAAAAAAUGGAGAGUUUAGCAAUCCAAAAGUCGAAAGCAUUAAUCGUAUCGCUGGAACAAGCAUUAAUUAUAGGUUCCAAAAGUGAAAGCUCCAAAAGUCAAGGUUUUGUUUAUGCUAUAACAUGGAGCCAUUGCAGAUAAUUCAGCGAAAAGUCGGUCGACAGUGCUUUGUCGAACAGCUUUACGCAAACAGCACUUUUACAAAAAGCUAGGAUCAAGCUAACGAAGAACUAGAAACUUAUUUAGAAACCUCAUCCAGAUGUGGUACUGCGAUAUGUAAGUCUCCAGCGUAAUCUUUCCAAGCCACCUAACAGUUUCUCAUCGAAGAUCAGUAAAACAACAAAAAUUGUCAAAAUAUAAGUGAGCACUUCAACAUAGUGUAUGUAUUGGGAGGUAAAAGGAGGGAUCGAGAGGCGCUCACCCAAAGAGCGCGAGAGUAUAGUUUCGGAAUCGCUGAGUUAUGUUCCUCAGAACAAUGUACACACUGAUUUUCAACGAAUUAGCAAACAAAACAUAUAAAUUUAUCAGUAUCAGACAUGGACCAGAGCUAUAAAGCAUCAUUGUGUUGUUGAGGUUAAAGCGUACGUGAUCGGAAUCCAUGACGUAUAGGGGUGAUAUACGUUGUACGUAUGCUUUUCGAGCUUGAACAGAUACUCGUACCACACGUAACCAACCUGAAGAAACAAAUUGCGGAUUCGUCGAUGAAAAUUUGAAGUGUUAUCAAGAAGAAAUAACAGUUAGGAUUAGUACCAGUAGGCAAAUUGUGGCAAUGGAUGAUUUGAUCAGUAUUUGAAGCGAAACUCUGGUUUUUUCCAGUUUCUCCAUCCACCUCUCGACCUUAUAUCAGCAAACAAUCAGAAAUGAAUUAGUCGAGUUCGUUGUUUUCAGUUUGAGAUAUGUUCCUGAAAUGGAAUUCGAGAUUCAUUACAAUUUACUGCUCGAGUACGAAUCAGCCAUUUACAUAAACAGACGAUGCGUUCAGAACAGUUAAAUCUGACAAAAUCCCCAGAAUAACUUAAAAUCUUUUAAAAAUUCGAAUCGAAUUUGCAAAUUGAUAAAAAGAGCUUCUAAACAUUAAUGAAAAGCAUUUUGAAAACUCACCGUCGGAUGAUAAUAGGCAUAAAUCAUUCCCACGAUCCAUAUAUACCGAUCGAGCCCCGACCGGAAAUGCCAUUCAUGCAUGGGAGGAUAUGGUUCGCUUACGUCCGGAUCAUUAUAAGCUGCAUUUGUUUGACAAUAAAUCAAACAAAAAAGUAAAGAAACCAUGGAAAAAACUGACAAAAAGAAAGAAAAGUUUGUAAGAACUGACCUAGAAGGAAAGCGAAUGGGCUCCACACGAAGUCGAAGACACUAGGGACUUCCCACACAAUAACAAUGACCGCAAAGCAAGCAACAAUUUUAACCGCAAUGACCGAGCCAUGUUUAUUGUACUUGUUAAAGAGGCCAAGCGCGCAAUACACCAAUAGAGUGAAGAAGGUGUGCAUUGGGCAGAUGUAGUACAACAUGUAAUGGUUGUCGAGAGCAAUGCAGCAAAACGCGACAAAGAAAUUGAGCCUCCACAUCAUCUGUUCGAACACAAAGGAACCGCCGUUCGCAGAGGCAAUUUCAAAAGGCCAAAAUGCAGAAAAGAGCUGGGCACCAGGCGAGGGUAUAUACGUGUAGAUAGUAUUUAAACUGAGCUCUAGAUUUUGUAAUAGAAUAGUAGAAGGUUUGGUUUAUACUGCUAGUGUUUCUAACUCGUCAUUUGAUGUUAGAAUUGUAGAAAAUUUAUAAUAUUAUCCUGAAAUAUCAUGUACUCUAUUGACAGGUGCUCUAUAUCGACGCCGUACAGGCAAUUUCAAAGGUCUCAGCAGUUUGAGUUCGAGUUCGACGGCAAAGUGAAAAUUGUGGUGUUAUGAAGAGGUGUUUUGAUUUCGACAUGAAAUGGUUGAAAUUACCUGAGCGAACCGCGCAAAGCUGAAGUCUUUGCGCACGUAGUAGUAGGAGAAGUUCCCAAAUCCAGUCAUCCACACAUAUGCGGCGAUGAAAACUCGAAUCGCGUUGUAAAUUUCUUUCGCGGCAAAAUAGUGGUACAUCACAAAAAGUACCUAUGCAUUGAAAGUAAAAAAAAAUGAACAUUUUAGAUGUAGUCGCCGUCAGCUCAAAUGUUUACAAAAGUUUAGCUCUUCAUUUUCAGAUUUACAUAUGAAUGGUUAAAGAAUCAGUGAAUAUCUUUGAAUUUGUGAAAAACUUUUAACUAAAAGUUGGUCUCCUUUGUGCAAUUGUACCCCAUUGUUUGCUUUAAAAGUUAGUAGAUCGCCGAGAUCGACAUAUAUAUCUUCGAUGUAAUGUACCUAAUUACAUUAGAGCGCGAGUUACCUGCAUCCACCCCUUCCAUUCCUCGGUCUGAUCCCUGUUAAGAUACCGCACGGACUUCUCUAAAACUGGCGAGUUUUCUUGAUGCUUCUUGAGAGAAGUAAUCGCUGCGACGAUAAUAAGAAGGAAGUAGAGAAAGAGGAAAAGGUCUCUGUCGUAGUGCUACGUGGAAAAAACAAAAAAUAAGAAAAAAGAAUACAUAUAAUCUAUCUGCAAAAGUGUUGUUUUAACUUUCAAAGGACUAGAAACAAACCUUAGUCGACUCUCCGAAGAGAUUCGUGCGGUCGCAGAUGUAAAAAAACACCGUGACAGCUCCAAAUUCUGAUCUGUAAAUCGUCGAAUCAAAUCAAUCACUGCAUUUCUCUUAAAAGAGAAGUUGUAUUAGCUAAAAGUCAUGAAAACUUAGCUUUACUUACAGGGAUCUUAGCGUCGAGCGGUUCUCUAACAAAAACUCCUUGUCCAUUGAAAGAAAUCUGAAAGUAACAUAACAAAGAAAGAAAAGAAAAGAAAAGGACAUAAAGCAUGAAUGGAGAAGAGCAUUAGAGUGAUUUGAUUAUGUAGUAAAACUUUUGUGUGUGUGUGUGUGUGUGUUGUUCUUGCAACACCUGAGAAAGCUUGGCGACGAUUUGCGAACUUGCGAAGGCGAUGCUAAAGAAGGACCUCCCUUUAACAAGUGAAUUUUCUCAUCGUUUUCGACGAAAUCAGAACCAAAAUCGGCGCCACUGAAAAUCAAAGAAGGUAAACUUGUAUUGAGACCGACAAUCAUUAAAUGUGACGAAAUCAUCGACGAAUUUGAUAAAAGCUUCAGUUUAUUUGACUACAAUCACUCAAUUCAAAAAGAAUCAAAAGUUAAGGGAUUAUCAAAUUAAAAGAAUGUAAAAGUUGAGGAGGUCAUUUUAAUUUGGCCUAUAGUUGAAGUGGUCUCCAUGCAUAGGAGUGAACCUACUUAAGUGGUUUAGAGCUUCAUUGCUGAUUCAAAAAGCUGAAUUAAACUUUUGGGGUUUUAAAUCAAUUCUCUAAUUUGAAGUUUCUACUUUCACAGCAAUGACAAGUUAUUAAGAAGAUCUUAACGGAAAAAGUUAUUUGUGCUUCAUUGAAUAGCUCUACUCAAAUAACUUUCCUAAAUAUGAGAAAUAUAUUCAUGUAAAACUCACUUCUUCGGGGGAUUCGAGUUGUUUAGGUGUUCCAACAGCUCAGAAUAAAGCCAUGCUACAAUUACAGGCAAAAGUCCAAGAAGUAAUGAAACCUGCUACAAAGGGCAUUUCAUUUUAGAAUAAGAGAAUAUCUAAAUCAAAUGAAAUUAAACCACUUUUAGCAAAAUUUAUUCAUCAAUAUACAUACCCAGAACCAAAAGAAAUGCAUUAAAGACCCAGAAAAGAUACCAUUGAAUCCACUGAAUCUCAGUAAAGUCGGAAAACUUUGAUUGUGAGCUAAAAACGCAUUGCUGUAGAGUGCAGUGCUAUUUGAAAAAGUGUGAUAUGAAAAGCACAGUUGGAAAAAGCAGCACAUUAAAGACCCUCUGACAACUUCAUUUUGCAGCAAAAUCAGAAGUAUCAAAUUAGAGCUCGUACUUUCGAGGCUCGAAAUCUUAUUUCUGAGUUUUUCUGUGAUAUGUACUGCUCGUAUUGAAAGCAGAAACAAAGGUAAGGCCAAGCAGGCGUUAAAAAUAACAUUCACAAUCAUAUUUUCUUAGCAUAUAUAGAAAUUAAAGGUAAGGAAUAUGAUGAGACAAAUUUGUAAUAAAAAGAGAGAGAGAAAAAAAAAAAAAAAAGUACCUGGCUAGGAGUUAUGGGGCCUGAAAUCUCCAUUGAUGAUAGUACACUAAUUAAUAAAGAGAAUUCAAAAGAAAGAAGAAAUAAUUAAAACCCAAAAGCAUCCCAAUGUGGACUGUGGAGAACACCCACAAAAAGGAAACACAAAUGAAUCCAAAGAGAAAAAAAAAAGUGCACCACUCCACACUCACAAAUUUCCAUUUAGAGAGAACCAAGCCUCUUAUAUAGGCUAAAGUAGCUGAGGAGAAACAAUUGCAUGCACCCGGUGCGCUGUGUACGGUGCACCGCGCAUACUACUGCAUCAUUUUCUAUCGGGUCGAUCUUUUGGAUAGUAUGGUAUCAGAAUCGAUUAUAAUUUUAUUUGCAGCAGUCUCUGAAUUAGAACUCAAUUUUACAGCUUGUGUUUUGUGGCAUUUAAAAAGCCUGCAUAUCAGAAAUCAUAAAUUUUUUAUAACUAUUCCUUAUGAAUCAACUAAUGAUCUUUUGUAUACUACUGGAUUUUGGGAUUAAUUAUUUGAUGCUUAAUAACAUGUUUCCAACACUUGUAGUACAUCGCAUCUGUCAAAUUAAAUUUUAAUUUUAAAAUAUUAUACAGAGUAUUUAAUAUAAAUAUUAAAUACAUCGUUAUCUGGUAGCUUAAAUUUUAGAGACAAACAGUUGUUCCGCAUAUAUAGUUUGAUAUAGUAUUAGAUAUUUGAUAUGAUAUUAGAGUAGGAGGUUCUGAAUUUGAAUCACGGCAGCCUCGUAACUUCAUGUAAUUUCUCUCCGUUUAAUUUAAGUAAGCGUCUUGGCCGAAACGUGAGGAGGGUUGAAUAUAAAAAUAUUAUUCGCUGACAGCUUAAGUUAUUAAAAAAUAACAUCAAGUACAAUAUUUUAAUGUAACACCAGAGGACAACUUAGAUAAAUCAAAAACAUGGAUAGGACAAAAACACUUUUGGUACUCAAAACUAUGAAGUAAUGUGGAAGAACGAGUAGAAUUUAUCUCAACUAUAAAUCAUUCUAAAUUUACGGUCUGAUAUUUCAAAGUUUGAUUUUACUAUUUAGCCUUUCAAUUUGUUAAAUUUGAGUCAGUCAAUGAUAGUUUGACUUUAAAUAAUACCAAAAACCACCGGAUAUUAUUGAAAAGAAAAUUGCUACUUAUACACUUUAUUAUAAGAUAUAAAUCUUGUACCCCAUUAUCCUGAAAUUUAGAAAACUCCUUAAUGUAAAAAGAAAGGUUGAUAAGAUUGGCGAGUAAAUUCUAGCCUUUAAAAAGAGGCUACAUGUAUACUUUAUUUUAAGGUAUAAAUGUUACACCCCAUAAUUUUAUUAUUUAGAUAAUUUUUUGAAGUUUUAGUGUAAAUAAAAAAAAAGAUUGAUAAGACAGGCGAGUAGAUUGUACCGACCCAACCAGCUAGCAAUAAUAACUCAUUGGGCCCAAACUAUCGGGUCCAAAAUACUUAAGACACACACACAGCCCAAGAUUACCCGGCGAUGUGAGACUUGCCUCGCUAGGUUUGUCAUUCCGAUUCUGACUUAGCCUGUCAUUUACCAACUCUGGUUUUGUCCGUUAUUCUAAUUCUGACUCAGCCAAGACUUAUCUCACACUUUCGGCUAGUGAACCGGCUCUGAUGCCAAAUGUAACAACCCUGCCCGCUAACAAUAAUAACUCGUUUGGCUCAAACUACCGGUCCAAAAUGCUUAGGCCUAGUUAUUACUACUAGGGUGGAGCCUUCUUAUAUACAUAAUGACGAUCCAUUUCUAUCCAAUAUGGGACUAUUGGGCAUCACAUAAAUUCUAGCUUUCAAGAGACUGGGGUGUAAAUCUUACAUAUUUAUGCUAGGUGUAGAGGCAGCAUUGUUGUAUAUAUCAUUGUCAAUUUCUCACAGCGAUAUUGGAUUUUCUCACGACGAUUAAAUGGUUGUGAAUAAAUUCGUAAAUCGUUGGCAGCUUUGAGAUAAAAUAACUGACGCCACCGUCUCCUCCUGCUGUCCUUUCUGAGAAGCAGAUUUUAAAGUCACCUAACUCAUUUCUCUCUUCUUUUCUAGCAUUAACUAAAAAAAAAAAAAAGAAAAGAUAAACAUUAGCCCGGUUUAUCUGACCCACACCACCCAACUCAUCUCAUUAGAAAAUAAAAACCAACCUAACCCGAAAUAUAAAUCCGUAAUCAUCUACAAAAAAAUUCAAAAUCGUAUUUACUCUGUGAAUGAGUUUUCACAGGGUUUGUACACAGGGAUAUUGGAUUAAGACAACAUCACUUUUUACAGAGGUUAAUUGGAUUUAAAAUCCAACAAACCUUUUUCCUUUUGAUGGAUUGAAAAUUUUGAAAAUUAAGAUGAUAGAUUAUAAUCUAAAACAAAAUAAAAUCAUCAAAUAAUCAAGACUUUUUGAUAACGAACGUUAUCUACGUAAACAUGUAAGCACGUGACAUGAAAAUAACCAGUAAAUAAAAUAAACUAACAAAUUAGAGAUAGUAGGUUACUCAAAUACUCAAAAAAGUUUUUUUUUUAUUUUUAUUUCGUUCUUACGUGGUCCACGCACGUUAAUUAAAAUUCUUCUGUUUAGUUUGAGAAUUUUUAGUUUGAUAAACUUUCCAGUCUAUUAUGUUAGUUGUAUAAAAAUUUUUUAGACUCGACAGUAAGGGUUUGUUUGGUUUCAAAUUAAGUUGACACAUAUUAAAGUGGAAUUUAAGUAUGUUUUUACAUACUUAUGAAAAAAUUGGUAAAAUAACGUCACAAUUAAUUUUUUGAAAAAAAAUUCAUUUUCCUUAGGUUUCCCCUUUUUUUUUUUCUUCUUUUCUUUCUUUCUUGUCUUUUGUUCUUACUAGGGAGAAACUCUCUUUCCUGUCUAUGGAUUGUAAAUAAAGUAGUUCUUUCUAAUUAAUCAAAUCCUUUAAAACUAAAACUAGAAUGUUGGUUUUUAAUUGAUUUUGGUUUCACAUUAUUUACUAGACUNUCUGCCACCGCAGUCAAUAAAAUAGAGUUUCGACGGUUGCUAAAUGCUUAAAUAAGUGUUGGUAAAUUAGCAGCACUCUUUUAGGUUAUAGCGACACUCUUUAACUGUUACUAUAUACCUAGCGACCCCACAUAUAGCAACACUUUUUAAAAGUGUCGGUAAUUUUAGCUAGCAGCACUUUUUUGACAUGUACCUACAUUUAAAAGUGUCGCUAUAGAUCGUUUUUGUUAUAAUGUUUAGCCAAUUUAAUUCAUGAGCUUUUUGUAUGUAGAAUUGGAGAGUAGAGAGAGAGAGAGAGAGAGAAACUCUCAUUAUUGCUGCAGGUGCUUUUAGUUUCCUUGGAUGCUGCUGAAUAGAAAGCAUGCAUGAGUGUUAUUCAAUUGUUGCUUCAUGUUAAUUAUUAUUAUUAAUUAUUGUCAUCAACAACCCAUUUUUUCCAACCAAUAAUUAUUCAGUAUUAUUGCUGCAACUUAACAUAAUGUCCUCCCUAUAACUAGUUUGACAUAUCACAUAUGGGAUGUGCAUGUAUCUGAUCAAUCCUAUUGAACCAUUUCAACUGUGACAAUCUAAUAGUCCCACAUUAGAUAAAACGGUUUAUCAUUGAAAAUAUAAGGGACGUUCGACUUUAGUAGUAAUAAUUAGGUUUAAAUAUUUUGGGCCGGUGGUUUCAAUCCAACGAGUUACAUAUCAUUACUAAUGGAUCAAAUCGUCACAUCGACUCAGUAAAAUAUUAUUUUACAUUAAUGCAGCACAAAUUUAUUAUACAAAGAGAGGAUAAUGAACCUUUAAGUAAUGACAACAUGGUAAAUUCAAAGUUGAUAUAAUGUCAAAAAAACAAUUAUGUAUUUAUCCAAGAUGGAAAGACUAUUGAGACCAAUAAUAAAAAAAUAAAAAAUAAAUAUGAAUGAAAAAUCACAAGAUUUGAAAACCUACUAGCUACCAGGGCAAUAACAAGCCAAAAAUUGCGACAAAUUAUCAUUCUGGGGACUGAAGUGUCACGCUCCUCAUGGUUUGAGACUAAGGUAGCAUUUGGUUCGGGAACAAGGAGGGAAAUAAGCCCUUGUUACUCUCUUUGUUCCCAAACGCAGCGUUUCGUGCCAGAGAACAGUAGUUCUCGAGUUUCUGGAAUAAGCCGAUAUAAGGCUAGAACUGCUGUUCCACUUUUUUCCUAGAAUAAACUUGUUCCCAGGUGAGAAUAAGGUUAACUAAAGUCUAAAAAUAAUUUUAAUUAUGGUAUUAAUUAAUCUAUUUAUUUAUUUAUUUAUUAUUUAAUGCUUAAAUAAUAAAAUAAUUUAUUAAUUUAUUAUUAUAAUUAUUAAUUAAGAUAUUAUUAUUUAUAAUUAUCAAUAAUUAAUUUAAUUAUUUAAAUUACUAUUAAUAAAUUAUAAUUAAUUAAUUAAUUUUAUUAUUAUUAUUUAUAAUUAUUUAAUUAAUUAAUUUAAUAUUAAUAAAUAAUUUGUAAUAUAUAUUUAUUAAUAAUUUAUUAUUAUUAAUUAUUUCAUUUAUUAUUAAUUAAUGUAUUAUUAUUUAUAAUUAUUAAUAAUUNNNNNNNNNNNNNNNNNNNNNNNGCUGUGAGACGUCUCGACAGCUGUUCGGAGAGGACGAUUUGCGGUCCCUAUGGUAUAUAUUUAUUGUUUAAUGAUUAUUAAUAUUUAUUAUUUAAAUUAUUAUUUUAAUAAUUAAUUAAUUAAUAAUUAUUAAUAUUUAUUAUUAUGUAAUUAAGACAAUUCCGAGUCGCGUUCGCGCGAAAUAGAUGCAAAACGGACUCAGCUGGGACGCAAGAGCAGGACUUGGCAUUAGAAUCUGCAAACAGCAGAUUUUAUGCUUGUUGUACCGGUACAACCAUUAAGGCGUACCGGUACACUUUCUGUACCGGUACAACAUCAGGGGUGUACCAGUACACUUUGACGGUUUGUGCGCAGCUGCUCUCGGGUUGCCAUUUGUACUGGUACAAAUAAUCAUGUACCGGUACACCAGGUAGGUGAGAGGGCAAAUGAGUCAUUUCUCACCUCGUUUGUGUCACCCACUCCUCUCCACCGCUUAUAUGUACGUAGAGGGUUAGAGAGAUGGAUUUUUAUUGCUUCUUCACCUCUCUCUCUCUCUAGACUUGAUCCGUUCGUGGAGGAGCUUGGGUGGAGUUGUUUUGUCGCCGACGUCGCGCUGCGGAGCCAUUCGAGCACGCGAGCGUUGUGGUGGCUGCGUUGGGAGGCCGAGCGAGCGUGUGAUUCUGCCGUUCUCGACGUCGCGCCGGAUUGAGUUUAACUUUCGAGGUGAAUUUAUCAUCGGAUUCUACUCCUAAUGUCUCGUUGUCGGCAUGUAUAUUUGGUGGAUGCAUUUCACGUGUAAUAGCUCGAAUUCAUGAUCUUUCAUGUUGUUGACAUCUAAACUGAAUUUGGAGCUUAGUUUUAUUAUGGAUAAAUUAUACGUGUUGGACUUGGAUAUGACAUAGGAGAAAAAUAGCGUUAUGGAUCUGUCACCUGUUUACACUAUCAGAUUUAGCUCUAGGAGCCGUUAUUAUUUUGUAUCACCACAGUAUUAGUGUGGUGGAUAUCCCAGGUAGUGUAGAUUAUUGUUACGCUCGUGCUGGGAUGUCAAGCCUAUUUUUACAGUAAAGUUUAGACUGUUCCGGACUGUUGGGUGCCGUCGAGAUUGACAGUGGACCCGGAUUGCCGUUUUGGCAUCAUAUUGUGCCGAGCGCACGUGACUUGUGGUUGGUAGACCAGUUUGACCCUGUGUACUUGACUAUAGCCUGUGAGAACCUAAUUGAGCUCGGCAGAGAUACGCUUGCAUACUCGGUUGGGUAGCUCUCACGAGUGCCACUCCGGAGUCGGGCUUUGUGGUUUUGCGUUGGUAUCGUUGUGUCCUGAUUGGACUUGCUCUCCACUAACUACCCAGCGUAGUGGUUGUUAGUGUAGCUUCGACAGGCGGGACGGGUGUAUCACAGUCCCUGGUGAGAUUGGGUCAGGAUUUACUUUCACUACAGUUGGUUAGUGUAGAGCAUGAUAGUGUAGUGGUAUCUAGCUGUAGAUGUAUUUCCAGCUUUUCCUACUAUCCCAGCUCCUUUCUGUAGACUUAGUGGGUAGACCGAUGAUGUUGAGAGCGGCACCCACUGAGGACUACUUGUUUUCACAGUAGUUCUCACGCCUAGUUGUUUCUUUUCGUUUUGCAGAGCCUUCGGUGCCGGCUGCUGCGCCCUCUGAGUUUGAUCGUGGCAAGGGCGUCGCGAGUUAGAGACCUACCAGACGAGCCAGAGCUAGUGGAGUACCAGCUACAGGUAGUUGUAGUUUUUGAGUUCUUAUACAUACUGUCAUUACUAUUUCUCGCGAGGCGAGAUUUUGUAUACUGAUGUUGUAUGUAUAGUGAACUUUUAUUUGCCACUGGUUAUGUUUUGUCCCUUACAGCCCUAUACUACUGGUUGUAGUGUUGUAUUUUUAUAGGUACAGCUAUCGUUUCGUAUACAGAAAAAAAAAUUUUAUAUACGGCGAAUUUGUCGGCGUACCCGGUGAACGUGAUAUCCGGGGCGUGACAUUAUAACUAUUAUUAAUUUAUUAUUUAUACUAUAUUAUCUAAUUAACUUAUUAUUAAUAAUAUAUUAUUAUUAAUAAUAUAUUAUUAUUAAUAAUAUAUUAUUAUUAAUUAUUAAUUAUUAAUUACUUAAUUUAUAAUUAAUAAUAAUUUAUUAUUUAUAAUUUAUUAUCUAAUUAAUUUUUUAUUAACUAAUUAAUUUAUUAUUUAUAAUUAUUUAUAAUUUAUUAUUUAAUUAUAAUUAUUUAAUUAAUUUAUUGUUUAUAAUUAUUAAUAUUAAUUUAUUAUUUUUAAGUAAUAUUUUAAUGUUAAUUAAUUAGAUAAAAUAAUUUUAAUUUAAAAUUAUAACUCAUAUUCAUUUUGUUCCACUCUAACCAUCCAAAUACUAUUUAUACCUUAUUCUUAGGAGCAAUUCAAUUUUCAUCCAAACGCAAAAUUGGUCUGAUUCCUGCUUAUACCUAAACUUAUACAUAUUGCUGAAAUAAACAGUUCUUACUUAUACCCGAAUCAAACACAGCCUAAAAUUAAGUGUAAUCUACCCAAAAAUAAACAUCCAAAUUUCACAACUUUUUGCUAUUUUCAAUAAUCAAAUAAUAUAUAUGCAGUAAUCAGAUGCAUGCAAUAAUCAGUCACAUGCAAUAGAUAUUAAUUAAAGUCUUUUAAACAUCAGAUAUAUACAUGUGCAAUAAUUAAAAUACAAGCAAUAAUUUCUCUGAAAAAUGAGGGAUCCCAAAUAAAUUGUUUGCCCCUGAACUCCUGGAUUGAAUGAUGGUUCCCAAAAAAAAAAAUUUGUUUAUUCAAAACUGUAUAUAUGUUCAGCGUUUGGUUAGGGGAUAGGGAUAGGAAUAGGCCCUUAUCCCCCUUUAUACCCAAACGCUAAUUUUUUAGCCGAGAAUAGUAAUUCUCGAGUAUCCCCACCAACACCUUUAUUUUCUAUAUAAAACUAUCUAAAAUUGUUCUUAUCCCCCGGAACAACCCAAUUUUUAUCCAAACACUAUUUUUCUUAUUCCCAUACUUGUAUCUAUUCCUGUAAUAGCUAGUUCUUGCUUAUACCCGAACCAAACGGUACUAAUUAUGAAUAACAUUCCAUGUGCUGGGUUCAGAGUUCUUGAUUUUUAUUUAGUUAUUGUGAAUUGUGAUCAGUGUAUAUAUAUAUAUAUAUAUAUAUAUAUAUAUAUAUAUAUAUAUAUAUAUAUAUAUAUAUAUAUAUAUAUAUAUAGAGUUGAACUAGAAUACUAUCGGUAGCAAACGGUCUCCGUUGCCACCCAUUUGUUUUUGAUAAUGGAGCCUCCAAAUCAAUGAUCGGCAUCGUUGAAUAUGUUCUAUACUACUUGAAGUAUCUAGAAAUCGAAUUUUAUACUUUUUCGAUAUUGCUCUCUUGUCCAUCAAGUGGGCGUAAAAAUGAACGGCUGAAAAUGAAUAUCCUCUAAAAAAUGAAGAUAAAAAUUUUGUAAUCAAGAUCGAGAGUAUAGAUCUUAUUCUAAAUAGUUUAAAGAAUUUUCUAACCAAAAUUCAAUUGAUUUGGAUAGCUUUACACCGUUAAACGAGAAAAUGCCUCAUAUCUACCAUUAAAAUUACAAAUUUUGAAAACCUUUGAUCAUUAGGUCAAUGAUGUCGAAAUGAUUUGAAAUUUGAUUUCUAAAUAGUUCAAGUGGUAUAGAUCAUGUUCAACGGUGCCGAUCGUCAAUUUAAAGGCUCCAUCAUCAAAAACAAAUUGGUGGCAACGGAGCUAGUUUGCUACCGAUAGCAUUUCAGCUCAAUUCUAUAUAUAUAUAUAUAUAUAUAUAUAUAUAUAUAUAUAUAUAUAUAUAUAUAUAUAUAUAUAUAUAUAUAUAUAUAUAUAUAUAUAUAUAUAUCCAUACAAGCUAGGUACAUGGCAAGUGUUGUGUAGCGCAGUUUGUUGGUAUCUUGAACAUUGAAUCAUAGCUUUUUGAUUGUGAAUCAUAACUAGCGCGAGAAAUUGUGCGUGUCGAUGAUCAGCUUGUAUGCAUCUUCAAGAGAAAAAAAAUAAAUAAAUAAAUAAAAGACAAAAAAAAUAAAAGUAUCCAAGAUAUAGAUUUUGGCCUGUUUGGAACAAAAACAAAGUAUAACACUAAACAAGAAGUUAGAUAUUUGGCAAGUAAAAUAAAAAGUAUUUAAUAUAUAUAUAGAGAGAGAGAGAGGGUUGACCUAGAAUAUGAUCGGUAGCCAGCAGAUUCUGUUGCUACCAAUCUGUUUUCGAUGAAAAACUUUCAAACAAUUAACACAUCGAACAUGAUUUAGACCAGUAAAAAUAUCAACAAGUCAAAUUUUAUAUUUUUUCGAUAUUGUUCUAGAUCUUCUACAGAAGUGAAUAAAAAAAUGAACGGCUAAAAAUAAAUAUCUUUCAAAAAGUGAUGUGUAAUCGAGACCAGAAGUAUAGAUCUUAUUUUAAAUAUUUUAAAAUAUUUUCUAACAAAAAUUUAAUUGAUCUAGAUUUAUUUACAAUAUUAAACUAGCAAACGCCUUAUAUCAAUAAUUAAAAUUAUAAUUUUUAUAACCUAUGAUUAUUAGGUAAAUAAUUUCGAAAAGAUUUGAAAUUUAAAUUCUAAAUAUUUCAAAAGUAGUAUAGAUCAUGUUUAACAGUGCUGAUCGUCGAUUUGAAGACUCCAUCAUCGAAAAGAAAUUGAUAGCAAUUAAGUCCGUUUGCUAUUAAUAGUAUUCUAUACCAACUCUCUCUCUCUCUCUCUCUCUCUCUAUAUAUAUAUUAUAUAAUAAUACUAACCAAGAGUAAUCUAUACCAAAUUAAACUAAAUAUAAGUUUGGAUUAAUCCCCAAAACAAAAGUUUAAUAAAAAUGUAUGAAGAUCUAGGCAUCACGGACACUGAUACGGGACACAGGAUAAGACACAACUCUGACACUGUGACUCGACAGCUUUCAAAAAAUUAAGGUUACAAACACGGCAUAGACACCGCUAAUAAAACAUAUAUAUUAUUAAUAAUAUAAUAAUAUAUAUUAUUAUUUAUAAAUAGUUUUACUAAGCUAUUACUAUAUUUCUCGUAUGAAUGAAAAUUAAUAAAAUUCCUACCAUACAUAAUUUAAUUAUAUUGUUCAAAAAUUUUCAUAUGUAUUUAUCAAAAAAUCAAAAUAUUUAUUUAUCUUACAAAAAAUAAAUGAGGGAUGUAUGUCCAAAUAGCCUAUAGUUGAGGGGGGUCUCUAUUCAUUUUUAACUAAAGAAACACUUUGUUCUAUUUCAGUAAAAUGAUUCAAAAACAUUCACACUAGGGUCUAGGGAUGGCAAUCCAGCUCGCUAUUCACGAGCCAACUUAUGUCCGGUUCAAAACGAGCUUGAGGUCGAAUCGCUCGUUAACUGUCCGGCUCAAAACGAGCUUGAGGUCGAAUCGCUCGUUUAGUUAACGAGUCGAAUAUGAUCUGAAUUUUUCAGCUCAUCUAAUAAACGAGCUAAACAUGAGCUGGGGUCAGCUCGCUCGUGCUCGGCUCGAUAACAGCUACAUAUAUUUUAUAUUUAUAUAAUUUAUAUAUUUUAAUUUUUAUAUAUAUUUCAUUCUUUAUAUAUAUAAAUAAAUAUUUAUAUAUAUAUAUAUAUAUAUAUAUAUAUAUAUAUAUAUAUAUAUAUAUAUAUAUAUAUAAUGCAAAUUUUUAUUAUUUAAUUUUUAGCUCAAUCUAAAUAUAAAGUCCAACUGAAUAUCAUAAAAAUUUUUAUUUAUAUAUAGAAUUUCAACCAUUAGAUCAAAAUCUAACAAAUACAAUCUCAUAAAUUUAUUUCAUAUACAUAUCCUUUUUAAUCUUUUUAACUUGUUGCUCAUGAGCUAACUCGUGUUGAGCUUGUUAAUAGACGAGCCAAACACGAGCUGAAUUUUUAGCUUGAUACUUUAACGAGCUAGCUCGUGUUCAUCUCGUUUAUGAGCUAGCUCCAGCUCGCUCGUGUUCGGUUCACUGACAAUCCUACUUCACGCCAGCAUCUUUGGGACGUUAAACACCACCAAAGAAAAGCAGUAGAGUACGAUGGCGGCGAUUGCUGCUACGACGAUGUUGCAGAGCAUGCGCUUGUCGUCGCCGCUCGGCACGAAAGCCAUCUUGAGUCUGUUCGUCAAUCCAAACACUCUAUGUGCAACCUGCAGAUGAAACUCAUCUCAAGAACUUGGCUAAAUUGCAGAAAACUCUCUUAUACAUUGUGAUUUUUCUCUUUAGUCCUGAAAUAUAUAUCAGGUAUUCUGGUAUAAUGUUAACGUAAAAUACUUAUGUUACUAAACUUUCUCGCAUAUUAGCAUAUUAAUGAUCAAAGGUUAUUAAUUUGAUGCAAAAAGAUCUGGUUUUUUUUUUUUCCUUCCUUUUUUACUCCAAGGGUACGUCGAAUUGCAAUAAAUGAAAAUAUAUGAAAAUUCCUCAACUUUGAACGUUUUAACUUAGAACCCCCUUAGCUUCUUAAUUUUGGAAGUAAGUAACUUUCAUUGAAUAAAUUGGAGAUUUUAUCAUUUCACUCAUUUUUUAGCAAUAAGACUAGAACGAUUAACAGUUAAUAGCUAACAAAAUCACCAAAUUAACUAAAUAAAAUUUUUAACUGCAGUAACUGAAGUAAAUCAAAAAAAGAAAAAAAAAAGUAAAUAAAUUAAAGGUGGGGAGCUAUUUCAAAAUCGCAUUAGUUGAGGGGGUCUUCAUACAUUUUUACCUUUUUUCUUUGGUUUUUUUCCCCCAUAAUUUCACACUAUUAUUAAUAUGAUAUAUACAUACUGUGACAUAUAUGGCAGUGGUGAGCAAAAAAUUGAGCAUUGGAUAGUUGGGGAUGAGAGAGAGGUUUUUUCGUGCUCUUUUAUCUGGCCCUCCUGUUCUGCAAGCACACCAAAAAAAAAAAAAAAAAAUGUAAAUAAAUAUAUUACCAUCUUUAAUAUAUUAAGUUGUACUUAAUUUCUAAAAAAAAAUUAUAGAUAUAUGUGCACUUAAUAUAACAACCCGAAACGCUAGCAAUAAUAACUCGUUGGGUCUAAACCAUCGGCCCAAAAUACUUCAAUCCAGUUAUUAUUAUUAGGGUGUGAGGCUUCUUAUGUUCCUAAUCAGAAAGGCCUCUUAUGUUACUAGUCAGAAUUCUUUUCUUAUCCAUGUCGGACUAUUGGAAUGUUAUAAACUUCCUCCAUUUAGACCCUGACGUUCUCGUCAAGUCUAAAUCCGAUCACAGCCAGAUAGAUCAGAACUACCAGGCGAUGUGAGAGAAGACUCUAGAAAGUGACUAUUACAGUUCAAGAUAUAGCUCUCACCAAAAAUCUGUGACAAAGUUCAAGAGAUGGCUCUGUUAGAAAAAAUAUCCGGCACUUAAAAAUCGCAGCGGAAAAACGAAAACGAAAUCCAUAUCACAUAUGAAACAAAACAAAACAAAUCAAUCCAGUGCCGGCGGAUCAUUCUCAUGUUACAAUGUAAAAUAAAAUCUAAUCUAAACAAAUCCGAAGUUUAGAUUACAUUACCUUGGACCAGUUAAGGUCUCUUGAUCUACUGUACGGUUGAAGUUGAUCCUCCGAUUAGCCGCGCACGUGCCCGGCCUCUACGCGUAUCCACACGGAAUUGAUCCCGAUCCAACGCCUUCCGUCGUAUGGAACAGAUGAGUCGCAGAUCACGAAGACGGUGCUAGCAGUCUUCCGAUGUCUACGUUCCUUCUUGGGAAAAUUAUUGUGGACUUACGAAAGUUUGAGAGAGAAGAAUAUUUGAAUCCUAUUCACGUCAAUUAAUGAUAUCUCGCACCCUUAAUGAAGCCGCAGCUAAGCUAUAUAUAUAGCUCUGCUUAAUUAAGGAGUACAAACAAAGAGCCGUACGAAACGGCUUCUUAAUUGAGCCGUAUCUUUGUUGUAACUAAUUAUAUUCAAAUAGUUACAAUCCCAAUUUGAUAAUUUUCAAUUAGUUAUAAUUCUAUACUAUCUGUUGCAACUAAUUGGAUUACAUCCAACUAAGGAUUACAUCCAAUUAGUUGGAACAUAGGAUAUUUUAUUAUCUCUCCCUUUAAUUAGAUCAUAUCUAUUAUAACUAAAUAUUCAUAUUUAAAUCUAAUUUAAUUAGAAUAUUAUCUCAUAAUAAUUUAUGAAUAUUCAGUUAUUCUCUAAUCCAAUUAGAGAUAAAAUCUUUCGUAACAAUCAAAUUAUAAUCCUCACUAUUUUCACUAAACCGUUUAGUGUAUUAUUCUCAUCUUGUCCUGUUGGAUGCACACAAUUCCUAUUGUGUGUGACCGCAUAGGUUCAUUACCAUUCGGCAGUGGAGCUAAAUAUCAAACUCUUUGAUAUUUAAUUAGAACCCUUCUAAUCGAUAAAUAAGAAUAAUUAAAUUCUAAUCAUUCAUAUUCUCUCACCGUCCGUGAGUGACACCUAGCAGUAUAUCACGACAAUCCAGAAUGGUGAUGAAGAAUAAACCUUUCCGCUUACAGUUACCGUAUGAUUAAUUCCUUUCAACACACAACGUCCCGAUCGAACCAAAAUUAUGGUUACUCGCCAAAUCUUAUUAUUCGAUCAUAUGACUAGAAUAUCUAGAACCGAUUCAAUAUGGUAACACAUCUGGAAACUCUUUCCAUACACCACAUGCCCUGGCCAGGGAUUUUUCGAAUCGAGUCUGAUAGUCUACAUAGAACGUUCUCUCUCAAUAUUGAGAGUGUUGAAUUCCUUAUUGCGCACUCACAUGCCUCCCCAUAUAAAUCACUAUAGCCAAUCAGUACCGAACAUAAACCCGUGUCUAGAGUCUAAGUAUUAGUACUGUUAAACUGUAGCAACCUAUACGUGAAGCAACUAUGAUGCCUCAGGUCCAAGGAGUACUUCACACAACUGUAGCAAUGAACUUAUCACUGGCGAGCAUAGAACCAUGUGACAGUUCAACCAAAUAGUCACGCUCAGUGUACUUGUUCUUUAACAAGCACCUGUAUGCUUACUUUAGUGUCUCUACACUAGUGACUUGAGACUCGUCACCUCAACUUAGAAGUAUAGCAUACACCGGCCUAUCCGGAAAUAUCAUCGCCCUUAUGAUAUUCCUAUGGCUAGGAGCAUUUAAGAAUCUUGUACUAAGAAAUAUAUAUCUCAAAUUCCUAACUCUUAGGAAUAUAUUUUCUUAACGAAGAUUCAACGGACGAUUCAUAUAUAUAUAUUGUACUGCGAACAAUAAAUAUGAAUAAAACUUGCCCUUUAUUAAUUAAGAAAAAUACUUAAUAUAUCCACAAGCCUAUGUCACCGAUUGGCUUUAGGGUUUAUCACUAACAGGCUCCCACCAAAUCCGUGGUGUAGCAUUUUGCCAUGCAUAACACGUAAUUCUCAUACUUUCGGCUGAUAUUUGUCUCUACUAUCAAACUAUAUCAUGUCGAUCCGCUAGCAAUAAUAAUUUAUUGGGCCCAAACCACCGCCCCAAAAUGUCUAAACCUAGUUAUUAUUAUUAGGGUGCAAUAUCCUCUUAUAUUCCUAAUCAAAAUCCUUUUUCCAUCUUCUCUCAAAAAAAAAAAAAAAAAAAAAUCAUUGAACUAUUGGAGCGUUACACUUAACCAUAUUCAUUUUUAACAAUAUUACUUUUAUUGUUAUAACCCUCUUGCAUAUUUCUAAUCUAUCAAAGAGGGUUAAGUGCAUACUUUUUUAUUUUAGGGGUUAAGUGCAACAAGUCAUAUAUCAAGAAAAGUAACUUACAUUUUAGCCUAAAUAAAAAGGGUUUCUUCUAUGUUUACUAAUAUAUAUAUAUAUAUAGAGAGAGAGAGAGAGAGAGAGAGAGAGAGAGAGUGUUUGGCUACUAUACUGUCUAUAGUACCAAACUUUUAGUACUAUCGAGUUUUCUGCCGUUAGAUCUACCCAUUGAUCAUUUCCAUCCGUUAGAUUAUACUAUUCAACCAACCACCCACUCAACUCUAGGGGACCAGUAUUAUUCUAACCGUGGACCACUAUAUAUCAUCCUAACUGCACAUAUUUUCAUCCAACGGCCGAAAACUCGACAGUACCAAGUGCUUGAUACUAUUGAUAGUAUCGUAGCAUAUAUAUAAAACUGUCCUGUCCUAUAACCUAUAUUUUAACACCUUGUAAUUUUUAAGAAGUAUAUUAUUAGGUGAAUUUAAAAUAAAAACAUAGGAUAAUUAAUUAAGCGCAACUUUAUGAAUCAUAGGGAAGAAAAAUAAAAUAUGCUAAACCGCAUGGAGGCAAAUUGAAGUUUAAUAAAACAAAAGAAUGGGGACUGUACGUAACUAUUUUAUUUUUAAAACGAGGGAAUCUCCAUAUAUUUUUACCUAAGAAGAACGAAAAGCACCGCACCUAGGACGUUGAAAAUGUUAAAUUAAGAGUCUACCUGGCUUGUCGUUUCAAAUAACUUCUCUAAUCUAGAAAGCAGAAGCUUUCGAGCAUUUACUGAGCCAAAAGUUUAGAGCUUUUGUGGUCCUUACGCCGUAACAUGGGAGUUAUUGAUGAUAAUGCAAUGGAGAAAGAAAAUACUGUUUCUUCGAAUGGCUCCGCUCAAACAAUAUUUUCACAGAAGCAACAGUCAAGCUAAACAUGAACUAGUUCUAUAAAUAACAUGAAAGUUACGAGAAAACCUCAGCCAGAUGUGGCACUGCGAUAUGUAAGUUUCGAGCGUAAUCUUUCCAAGCCACCUGAUAAUUUGAAGAAACAAUGAUCAAAAUAAUAAAAAAAAAAAAAGAAAAAAAGCAAAUUUUUUUUUAAUAAAAUUGAGAAUAAUUUCGGAAUUGUUGCGAUAAGGCCACUCACCCAAAGAGUGCAAGAGUAUAAUUUCGGAAUUGCUGCGUUAUGUUCCUCAAAACAAUGUACACACUGAUUUUCGACGAAUAAAAUGAUAAACAUGUAUGAAUAAUUCAAUAUGUGAUAUUGAUCAAAGAUGCUUAAAACACGAUAUUAUCGUAUAAUCAAGGUUAAAGCUUACGUGAUCGGUAUCCAUGAUGUAUAGGGGUGAUAUGCGAUAUACGUACGCCUAUCGAGCUUGAACACAUACUCGUACCACAGGUAACCAACCUAAAGAAGUACACAGUAAGAACAUAUAAGACCUCACCUGAGUUAUAGCAUAUUUUGAAACAGGCUCCUGAUACUUUAGAGCACUUGUUAAAUCUUUGACAGAAUCAAUAUGUUUCAUCAAAAUGUUAGAAAUGCUGGUAAGAUUAGAGAGUAAAAUCAAAACUUUUGAAGUUUGUAUAUCUAUUUUGUGACACCCCUAUAAUUAGGAAUAUUUUUAUUUAUGAGAUAUAUAUAAUAGGGCUUAAACCUCUUAACCCGAUUAUAAUAUUUUGGACGGUGGCUAGAUCCAAGAGAUUAAGAGAAUUAAGCGUAUUAAAACUAGAGUAGUUUUAUGAUGGUUGACCUCUUGGAAAGCAGUGCAUUACAGUUGGUAUCGUGGGCUAAUCACUAGCCGGAAUUGUAAGAUGAGUCUUGGCUAGGCAAGGAUCAUAUAGCAGGUACGUACAACGCGGCUCUCCGACUGACAAAAGUUACGGGUAGAGCGUGUCUCUCCAUAAGGUCGGCUAGGGUUAACGAAAUGAGUCUCACAUCGUUUGUUCCUUGCGAGUGUGCUUGAGUCUAACGAGGACGUCAGGACUUAAAGGGGUGAGAAAUGGGACAACUCUAGGAUUGAGAAAAACCCUAUAUAUAUGAGAUAUAAUAGCUAAACCUCUUAACCCGGUCAUAAUAUUUUGGGCAAUAGCUAGACUCAAGAGGUUAAAAAGGUUAAGCAUGUAAAAGCUAGAAUAAUUCUAUGAUGGAUGACCUCCUGGGAAACGGGGUAUCACCUAUUUCGAAAACAUUAUAGGAUGAAAUUGUAAAAUCCAAAAUAUGCUAUAGUUCAAGUAACGUCCGUACAAUUUUUUUAAAAUAAAUUGAAGAUAAAUCCGUGAAAAUUUUAAAUGUUAUCACAAAGAGAUAAAACUUGGAUUGAGUACCACAAAACAAACUGCAACUAUGGAUGCUUUGAUUAGCAUUUGAAGCCACACUCUGGUUUCUUCAAGUUUCUGCAUCCAUCUCUCAACCUAUAUCAACAAACAAUCAAGUUAUUAAAUAAAUAAAAAAUUGUAGACACCACAUUUGUAACCAAAGUUUCAAUUACAUUGUCAUGGUUGUUUAAAAUCAACCUCCUUAACUUUUCAUUGUUUUGAUUGCAUUUCUUUCCAUAAAUGUAAAAGGAAAUUCAUUGUAUAUAACUACUAAUAUUUAACAAAAUUUUUAAUUUAAUCGGUAUGAAACAAGUCACAACCCUUUGUCUCUCUAAGCUGACAAAAAUACGGUAUUUUUAUAUUUUAUAUUCAGCACUCACCGUCGGAUGAUAAUAGGCAUAAAUCAUCCCCAAGAUCCAUAUAUACCGAUCAAGCCCAGAUCGAUAAUGCCAUUCAUCCAUGGGUCCAUGUGGUUCACUUUCGUCCGGAUCACUAUAACCUACAUUACAAAAUGUGGAAACUAAAUCUGAGAAACAAGCGCAACGAAAAAAACCCUACAAAAAAGCACCCCCUUAACUUUCUCAGAAGUUUCACUUUGGCGUCUAUUCUUCGAAAGUGAACUUAACAACUCUAAUUCACAUCUUUAGCACAUACAUGAGUUCAAAUUUCACUUAUAUAGCAUAGAGGUAAUUUAGUGCGUGUUAAGUGGUUCAGAAAAGUAUAUUUGGAUAUGCAUGCAGUGAAAAGCGUACGUAGCAAUGACGACUCACAUUUGUAAAUUUUCAUAAUAGAUCAUUCCCAAUAUAGAAUGUAAGAGGCGAUUAGAUAUGUAGACUUAGUACGGUUGUAGUCAGAACUUGGAACUGCAGCCUACUCUUACAGUUUCAACUGCAGCAGUUAGAUUCACUCCGUAGAAGUUUGGAAGCUCGCUAUCAGUGCAGUUAUAUAUCGAAGAUUUUGAGAACUGACCGAGGAGGAAAGCGAACGGAUGCCACACGAAGUCGAAGACGCCGGGGACCUCCCACACAACAGCAAUAACCAAAAAGCAAGCACCAAUUUUUGCUGCAAUGGCCCAGCCAUACUUGUUGUACUUGUUGAAGAGACCAAGCGCGCAAUACACCAUCAGGGUGAAGAAGGUGUGCAUGGGGCAGAUGUAGUAGAACAUGUAAUGGUUGUCGAGAGCAAUGCAGCAAAACGCGACGAAAAAAUUUAGCCGCCACAUCAUCUUCCCAAAGACAAAACAACAUGUUGUUGGUUAGACAGUAAUUAUGUUGGUUUAAAGGGACCAGCAUCCUGCCCUGUAACAGAAGGCUGGAUUGAGCAGAGUCAUGUUCCAAAUGACGUGAGGCCGGAUUGGAUCGAGUCCUAUUCGAAGUGACAUAAGGCUGGUUAGGUUAAGUAAUAAUCGAGAUCCGUGUGUCAUGUAUGUCUGUAUCUAUACGCUUUAAGUAAAUUAGUUGUGUAUUUCUAAUAGUUCGAGCUUUGGGAUUAAUGAUUAGGGCCAACGAUCUGAUAAAUUAGACCGACUCUAAUUUGAUCAAGGCAUUUGAAUUGAUGGAACUGUAAUUCGAUUGAAAAGUAAGUUUAGGUGGAACGAAGAGAAUUUGUUUUCAAAAAUUCCAACCCAUGACUACGAUAUUUCGUAAACAAUGGACCAUUUUGAAACUGUUACCUUACUUUUCAAAUUUUUGAUUUUCUAAAUCAACGGUAUUUUGACUUCAAAAUUUAUCACAAUUUCGUCAGUUCUCCAAAAAAAAAAAAAAAAAAAAAAAAAAAAAAAAAACCCACUUCAAGUUAUCACAAAUUUCCACAACUGCCUCUAUGAAAAAAAUAUAUAUUUAAAUAUCCACUUUUCUAUUUUCCUUACUGACUUUCAAAAAUUUAUAUUUUACCUCCUCAAAAUUUUAACUUGAUGUAUUUAGCCACGCCGUAUCAGGGUUCCAUCACUAUGCCGUCCAUUUCUUAUAAUUUAUAAUAAAAAUGCCCUUGAAAAUGCUGAAAUAUAUUAAAAUUUUCUUUUUUUUCUUAUAAAAAUGAAAGAGCGGAGCAAUUUAGUUAUUCCGUUCUCUCCAUUAACACCGUUUUUAGCAGUCAGGAAGAAAAAAUUAAAAAAAAAUAAAUACUUACAGAGAGGUUUUCUGUAUCUUAGCCUUUUAUUAAUUACCUGAGCAAAUCGAGAAAGGCUGAAAUCUUUGCGUACGUAGUAGUAGGAGAAGUUCCCAAACCCAGUCAUCCACACGUACGCAGCGAUGAAAGUGCGAAUCGCGUUGUAAGUUUCCAGUGCACCGAAAUAGUGAUACAUCACAAAAAGUACCUUUGUACCACGGAUAAAUGAUCGGGAGUUAAGGUUUGAGAAUAGUCCCACAUCAGAUAACUAUAGCUAAAUGCAGGGGUAUAUAAGGUUGAAUAGGCUUAAGUUAAUAAUUAGGCUAUAGCAUUAUGGAUUAGCGGAUUGGAUCCAAAUGUUAUUAUUGGAUCUAAGGUAAUCCAAUUAGGAACGUAAAUGGGUCGGAUUCAGAGUGAAUUUUAAAAUCAAAAUCCGAACCCGAAACAAUUAUUUCUCUUUACAGCAUUUCAAAACAUAUUACUAUAUAUAAAAUCGAGUCAGGUUCAGGUUAGAGAUGUCAACGGGUUGGAUUCGGGGCGGAUUUUUAAAAACCCGAACCCGACUCCAAACUGGAGACCCGAAUCUGAACCCGACAGAUUUUAAAAAUCCAUAUCCAAACCCGAACCGGAACCUGAAAAUUUGAACCCGAAACAAUUAUUUCCUUUUUCAAUAUUUCAAAAUACAUUCUAUUAAAUCUAAAUUUUUAAAAUAUAAUUUCAAAUAUAACAUCAAAUUUUUAUAUAUAUAUUAUAUAUAAUACAAAAUAAAUUUGGGUUCGUGUCAGGUUCGGGUUCGGAUCGGGUACAGUCAAAAUCCAUAUCCGAAUCCAUAUACGUCAGGUUUCUAUUUUUGAUAUCCAUAUCCAUUUAGCAUCGGAUAUAUCCGUUUCAUUCGGGUUCGAAUUCGGAUAAAAUUUCGGAUAUCCAUACCCAUUGACAUCCCUAGUUCAGGUUGGUUACAAUCAAAAUUCAAAUCCAAAUCCGUCGGAUAUUUAUUUUUGAUAUUCAUAUUCAAAAUUAUAUUCGUUUAAGUUCAGGUUCGGAUUCAGAUAAAAUUUCGAAUAUUCAUAUCUAUUGACAUCCCUAUACCCAAUUAUAGUAUUUGCAUGUAUGACAAGAAAAGAUAUAAUUUGGGCCUGUAUCCUUUGAAAUCUCUCAUAUUUAUAUUUCACAAAUCACACUGAAAUGGAGAGGUGUACACAUACAAAUAUGGGCUAUUUCUAAAAAUAUAGGAACAAUAUUACAAUAUUUUAGAAGGUGUGUACGUAUAAUUGUGUAUAUCUUGUGGGGAUAUAUUAUAUAUACACACAAAAAAAAAAAAGAAAAAGUUCAAAUAGUCCCCUCGUGGCUUAGCAUAUUUUUAAUUCGCCGCCCUGUGAUUUUAUUUUUAUUUCACUAUUAGGGCUUAUCAUCACAAAAAAAAAAAAAAAAAAAAAAAAAAAAAAAAAAAAAAAAAAAAAAAAAAAAAAAAAAAAAAAAAAAAAAAAAAAAAAAAAAAAAAAAAAAAAAAAA